AGUGAACGCUGGCGGCGUGCUAACACAUGCAAGUCGAACGAGAACGGGUUUAAGUUUACUUAAACUGUCAGCUAAGUGGCGCACGGGUGAGUAAGAUAUAGUUAACCUGCCCUCUAGAAAGGAAUAACAGUUAGAAAUGACUGCUAAUGCCUUAUAUGCCUUUUUAACAUAAGUUAGUAAAGGGAAAUGCUUUAGUGCUAGAGGAUGGGACUGUAUAGUAUCAGAUAGUUGGUGGGGUAAUGGCCUACCAAGUCAAUGACGCUUAACUGGUUUGAGAGGAUGAUCAGUCACACUGGAACUGAGACACGGUCCAGACUCCUACGGGAGGCAGCAGUGGGGAAUAUUGCACAAUGGACGAAAGUCUGAUGCAGCAACGCCGCGUGGAGGAUGACACAUUUCGGUGCGUAAACUCCUUUUAUAUAGGAAGAUAAUGACGGUACUAUAUGAAUAAGCACCGGCUAACUCCGUGCCAGCAGCCGCGGUAAUACGGAGGGUGCAAGCGUUACUCGGAAUCACUGGGCGUAAAGAGCAUGUAGGCGGAUUGAUAAGUUUGAAGUGAAAUCCUAUAGCUUAACUAUAGAACUGCUUCGAGAACUGUUAAUCUAGAAUAUGGGAGAGGUAGAUGGAAUUUCUGGUGUAGGGGUAAAAUCCGUAGAGAUCAGAAGGAAUACCGAUUGCGAAGGCGAUCUACUGGAACAUUAUUGACGCUCAGAUGCGAAAGCGUGGGGAGCAAACAGG
RNAcentral lists this ribosomal RNA (738 nucleotides) under uncultured bacterium. Its description in RNAcentral is "bacterial SSU rRNA". It matches the Rfam family "Bacterial small subunit ribosomal RNA", at positions 28 to 776 of the family's 1533-position model. The record is from RNAcentral.